UGGAGAAAUCUACGUGAUAUAUGG
RNAcentral lists this non-coding RNA (24 nucleotides) under Arabidopsis thaliana (thale cress). The record is from RNAcentral. Lineage: Eukaryota; Viridiplantae; Streptophyta; Magnoliopsida; Brassicales; Brassicaceae.